UACGAAGGGGGCUAGCGUUGUUCGGAAUUACUGGGCGUAAAGCGCGCGUAGGUGGUCAUGCAAGUCAGGGGUGAAAUCCCAGAGCUCAACUCUGGAACUGCCUCUGAAACUGUGUGACUUGAGUAUCGGAGGGGAUGGUGGAAUUUCUAAUGUAGCGGUGAAAUGCGUAGAGAUUAGAAGGAACACCGGUGGCGAAGGCGACCAUCUGGACGAUUACUGACACUGAGGCGCGAAAGCGUGGGUAGCAAACAGG
RNAcentral lists this ribosomal RNA (253 nucleotides) under uncultured bacterium. RNAcentral describes it as "partial 16S ribosomal RNA". It matches the Rfam family "Bacterial small subunit ribosomal RNA", at positions 524 to 776 of the family's 1533-position model. The record is from RNAcentral.